CCCCUUCGGGGGACAGGGUGACAGGUGGUGCAUGGUUGUCGUCAGCUCGUGUCGUGAGAUGUUGGGUUAAAGUCCCGCAACGAGCGCAACCCUCGCCUCUAGUUGCCAGCAUCGGUUGGGCACUCUAGAGGGACUGCCGGCGACAAGUCGGAGGAAGGUGGGGAUGACGUCAAAUCAUCAUGCCCCUUAUGACCUGGGCUACACACGUGCUACAAUGGGCGGUACAAAGGGCUGCGAACCCGCGAGGGGGAGCGAAUCCCAAAAAGCCGCUCUCAGUUCGGAUUGCAGGCUGCAACUCGCCUGCAUGAAGCCGGAAUCGCUAGUAAUCGCGGAUCAGCAUGCCGCGGUGAAUACGUUCCCGGGCCUU
RNAcentral lists this ribosomal RNA (367 nucleotides) under uncultured Geobacillus sp. Its description in RNAcentral is "bacterial SSU rRNA". It matches the Rfam family "Bacterial small subunit ribosomal RNA", at positions 1014 to 1382 of the family's 1533-position model. Lineage: Bacteria; Bacillati; Bacillota; Bacilli; Caryophanales; Anoxybacillaceae. The record is from RNAcentral.